CUACAUUAGUUACAUUAACUACUUCAAUUAAAUUAUACGCAAUCUGCACUUACCACAAAUAAGUAAUUAUUCAAUUUUAAUGUGUAUGUCACUUCGCACAUACCAUAAUAAAAACUGGAAAAUAAUAACAUUUUUGUGGAGAGAGUAUAAGAGCUUCGCAUAUUAGGCAAAUUAGUUGAUUUUGGCUUUUAGCGAUGACGACAUGCGUUCGGUGUUUAUAAAGCCAGGACAUAUACACGCAUGCGUAAGUUGUUGCCAGUGUAAGUGUCAGUUGGUGCUGAUAAUUAGCGAUUAAAUUUACCGUGCACUCAACUGUACGUGUUGCAGUCAAGUACUCUGUGGAUGUUGAUGUUGUUGCUAUUGCUGUUGCUGUUACUGUUACUAUUGUUAUUGUUGCCGCGCCGUUUGAGGUUAGGGGCAUGUGGUUAAAGGCAACGACGCUGAUUAACUGGCAGCGGUUGCAGCAAAGUUCAAAGUGAUGGUACAGAGAGCAGCAACCCUACAGUGCCUGGUGUUGCUGUUGAUGUUGGUGUUGCUAUUGAGUCUGGACUAUGGUUAAACAGCAGGUGUGGCUAUUAAACAGCCGCAGGCUCUGUGAAUGCAAUCGCAUUUUGGGCCAGGAUCUGGACGAGUUGCCGAGUCUCCUGUCGCUGCAUUUGCGUGACAUUCCUCCGACUGACCAAAGGCGAAACCAAAGGCCAGCGACAGCUUGAUAAUUUGUUAGGCUGUUGAGUUCCUUGACAUUGACCGGAGACCUCUCUACUUACGGCAGGGUCCUCCUUGGACAAAGUGCAUUGCGGUUUUCACCAGGAUUGUUGCAUGUGGCACGCCAAUGAGCACUGCCCUAAGUAGUGAGGACUCCCAAAAUUAAACACUGUUGACAGCUCGCACUCACAAGCAAUAUGAAGAAUUUGAAUGCAAUGUCCGUGACUGAAGCAGGGUCGAUGUCAAUACUUUGCGAGCGGCAAGCGGCAAUUGGGAUUCGAAUAAUCAGCCUGGUUUUUGGUUAUAACUUGGAAUAAUUUGUGCCUUUGUGGUUAACUCAUUGUUGUUUGCCGAACAAAAGGAUUGACUCUGUUUGGUAUUACGUUUCAGCAUUGACUCAUUUAAAGUGAUCAACGAGCAUAGCACUGUCAAAAAACAUCUGACAACUGACAAGUAAGGUA
Long non-coding RNA from Drosophila sulfurigaster albostrigata, 1166 nucleotides. RefSeq lists it as uncharacterized. Lineage: Eukaryota; Metazoa; Arthropoda; Insecta; Diptera; Drosophilidae. The record is from RefSeq and is a predicted model, not a curated record. The transcript has 3 exons.